This 73-nucleotide transfer RNA is filed under the name Ceratocystis platani. It matches the Rfam family "tRNA". From Rfam's summary of the family: Transfer RNA (tRNA) molecules are approximately 80 nucleotides in length. The record is from Rfam by way of RNAcentral. Lineage: Eukaryota; Fungi; Ascomycota; Sordariomycetes; Microascales; Ceratocystidaceae.
GUGUUCCUAGCUCAAUUGGAUAGAGCGCCUGCCUUCUAAGCUGGAGAUACAGGUUCGAACCCUGUGGAACAUA